GCAUUUUUGUAGUAGUGAAGCGUAAUUUAUUAAUUAUAGAGAUUUUAUUAAAAUAUAUGGGUAUUGUAUAUACUAUUUUUGAAAUAAAAUAUUUUCGGGUUCGAUGACUGUGGAAACUGGGUUUAUUGGCCAAAGAUGUCACGACAACAAUAGAAUGAGUUUUGGAUUGUACCAAAAUGUUUUAGUAUGCUUGAGUUGUCGGGUUAUUUGGGCUAGAUAGCUUUGACCAAAAUACUCCUAAGUUAUAAAGUUACAUAAGUGUUGAAUUAAGGAUAAAAUAAUAACUUCACUUAGUUCUAUUCUUUUAUUUUAUUCGAUUUUUCUUGUAAACCCAAGGCUGAAGGAAAUAAGAUUUUAAUUUCCUCAAUAAUUUAAUGUUAUUAUCUUAGUUAUCUUAGUGAGAUAAGAUCAAAUAGAAUUAUCACACAAAAAUCUCUUUCUCUCUCUUUUCAUUUUUGGCUCAACGAAACCCAACAGAACCAACACAAACUCAAUAUCAUUUUCAUCAUUUUCUUGUCAAUUCCUUCACCUUAGAAGUUGUCCUAUCCUGAGGGCCCCGAGAUUGUCGAAUGUUAUUCCACUCAGGUCGGCCAACACAUUUAAACUUAGAUUUAAGGUAAGAAAAGUCAGUUGUACCACUUUACAUGUCUAAUUGGGAUACGAUAAUGAGUGUUAGUAUGAAAGAUUUAUAACUCUAUUCAGAAACCACUGUUAGGUUUCUUACUUAUCGGUUGCCUUAUUAGGCAACGAUAGUAACAAUACCUUACUCGUUGGAAAAGAGGGUUGAUGGGUACUUUAUAAAGUAUCAGAGAUAGUUUGUCUUAUUAGACAAAUAAUUGAUAAUUCUUAUUGUGUUAAGUUGUAAUAUUUUACAUGAAUAUAUGUUUAAUUUUGUAACUGUCAUUGAUUACAGACUUAUUUGAUUUAUGGAUUUAUAUUUUCUUUUU
Long non-coding RNA from Cannabis sativa, 947 nucleotides. RefSeq lists it as uncharacterized. The record is from RefSeq and is a predicted model, not a curated record. The transcript has 2 exons. Lineage: Eukaryota; Viridiplantae; Streptophyta; Magnoliopsida; Rosales; Cannabaceae.